Molecule: long non-coding RNA, 255 nt
Filed under: Phoenix dactylifera (date palm)
Lineage: Eukaryota; Viridiplantae; Streptophyta; Magnoliopsida; Arecales; Arecaceae
Description: long non-coding RNA (PDAC_LNC016028)
Source: RNAcentral
CAGCUUGUAUGGCGGCAAUGGCAGACCUGUAGUAUGUAUUGUCUGCCACAUUCGCUGGGAUGUAGCUGAAGUGAAACCAGAAUCCAAUAGCUCGCCAUAUAGUUUUCUUCUUAUCCUUCAUCCACAUUGUGUCUACCCUCUGCUGCCUUGAAUCUCUGCUGAGGAGAGCAUGCGGAUCUACAUCAUGAAUUGUCGCUCCUUAUGGAAUUUCUCUAGAUGACUUCUUUCGGCUACCAAAACUACCCAGCAUAGAUG